CGGCAGCGCGAAGAAAGCUUGCUUUCUUUGGCGGCGAGUGGCGAACGGGUGAGUAAUAUAUCGGAACGUGCCCAGUAGCGGGGGAUAACUACGCGAAAGCGUGGCUAAUACCGCAUACGCCCUACGGGGGAAAGGGGGGGAUCGCAAGACCUCUCACUAUUGGAGCGGCCGAUACCAGAUUAGCUUGUUGGUGAGGUAAAGGCUCACCAAGGCCGCGAUCUGUAGCUGGUUUGAGAGGACGACCAGCCACACUGGGACUGAGACACGGCCCAGACUCCUACGGGAGGCAGCAGUGGGGAAUUUUGGACAAUGGGGGAAACCCUGAUCCAGCCAUCCCGCGUGUGCGAUGAAGGCCUUCGGGUUGUAAAGCAUUUUUGGCAGGAAAAAGAAGGCCCCGGAUACCUCCUGGUGCUGAAGCCCGACCCUCAU
RNAcentral lists this ribosomal RNA (429 nucleotides) under Pusillimonas sp. RNAcentral describes it as "bacterial SSU rRNA". It matches the Rfam family "Bacterial small subunit ribosomal RNA", at positions 67 to 502 of the family's 1533-position model. The record is from RNAcentral. Lineage: Bacteria; Pseudomonadati; Pseudomonadota; Betaproteobacteria; Burkholderiales; Alcaligenaceae.